CUCUCUGGGUGGCGAGUGGCGGACGGGUGAGGAAUACAUCGGAAUCUACUUUUUCGUGGGGGAUAACGUAGGGAAACUUACGCUAAUACCGCAUACGACCUACGGGUGAAAGCAGGGGAUCUUCGGACCUUGCGCGAUUGAAUGAGCCGAUGUCGGAUUAGCUAGUUGGCGGGGUAAAGGCCCACCAAGGCGACGAUCCGUAGCUGGUCUGAGAGGAUGAUCAGCCACACUGGAACUGAGACACGGUCCAGACUCCUACGGGAGGCAGCAGUGGGGAAUAUUGGACAAUGGGCGCAAGCCUGAUCCAGCCAUACCGCGUGGGUGAAGAAGGCCUUCGGGUUGUAAAGCCCUUUUGUUGGGAAAGAAAUCCAGCUGGUUAAUACCCGGUUGGGAUGACGGUACCCAAAGAAUAAGCACCGGCUAACUUCGUGCCAGCAGCCGCGGUAAUACGAAGGGUGCAAGCGUUACUCGGAAUUACUGGGCGUAAAGCGUGCGUAGGUGGUCGUUUAAGUCCGUUGUGAAAGCCCUGGGCUCAACCUGGGAACUGCAGUGGAUACUGGGCGACUAGAAUGUGGUAGAGGGU
This 583-nucleotide ribosomal RNA is filed under the name Stenotrophomonas maltophilia. RNAcentral's name for it is "bacterial SSU rRNA". It matches the Rfam family "Bacterial small subunit ribosomal RNA", at positions 80 to 659 of the family's 1533-position model. Lineage: Bacteria; Pseudomonadati; Pseudomonadota; Gammaproteobacteria; Lysobacterales; Lysobacteraceae. The record is from RNAcentral.